CCCACUUAAAGCUACAUCUACUUUCACGAUGAAGAAGACUCAAUUUGUGCAAGGAGACAAAGCCAUAGGUAGGCUAGAGGCAGAGGAGAUCAUCCGGAAUUACUGAGCCGAGGACGUUAUCCAAGCUUGUCUCAAACAUUCUUCGUUCUUAGGUUGUCUCGCUGUCUCAAGAUUGAGAUCGGGGGUUGCGAUGGGGGACUGGUGGUUGUGCCUGGCUUGGUGUCGAUCGGAGGUUGGGAUGAGUUGGCGGCUGGGUUGAAGGGAAGGGGGUUGAGGUGGGUUGGUGCGGCUAGGGUGAGGAAGGAAGAAGUUGACGAUUCAACGGUGAGGGGGAAGGAUUGACAACAACGAUAUCAGGGUGGGGUGCGGGUGGGGAAGAUGGUGGCUUGGGGUAGCAAAUUAAGAAACCCAGGUCUGUGGUGUGAGUAGAGAAGGGUAGUCAUGGUCGCCAUGUUUGAAGAAGAAAAUGGGGAUUGUAGUCGAUGAGGAUUGAGAAUUAAAGCUGCAUCUAGUUGUUUAAUUUAAUUAGAUGAAGAUUGAGGAUUAAACCUGCGUCUAAUUGUUUUUGUUCAAUAGCUUUUAAUUCUUAAUUUAAUCAUUUUGAAUUUAAUUUUAAUGAUUUUAAAAUAGUUUUUAUAAAGCUUUUAAUAAUUUAU
This 656-nucleotide long non-coding RNA is filed under the name Malus domestica (apple). Its description in RNAcentral is "long non-coding RNA (MDOM_LNC011156)". Lineage: Eukaryota; Viridiplantae; Streptophyta; Magnoliopsida; Rosales; Rosaceae. The record is from RNAcentral.